Molecule: ribosomal RNA, 253 nt
Filed under: uncultured bacterium
Lineage: Bacteria
Description: partial 16S ribosomal RNA
Rfam family: Bacterial small subunit ribosomal RNA
Source: RNAcentral
UACGUAGGGAGCGAGCGUUAUCCGGAAUUAUUGGGUGUAAAGGGUGCGUAGACGGGAAUACAAGUUAGUUGUGAAAUCCCUCGGCUUAACUGAGGAACUGCAACUAAAACUAUAUUUCUUGAGUGCAGGAGAGGUAAGUGGGAUUCCUAGUGUAGCGGUGAAAUGCGUAGAGAUUAGGAAGAACACCAGUGGCGAAGGCGAUUCUCUGGACUGUAACUGACGCUGAGGCUCGAAAGCGUGGGGAGCAAACAGG